GUCACCUGAUGUUCCUGAACUAUGACUCCCACAAAAGGUUGGGAUCCAUCCUUCCUGCUCACCGCUGAACCCCCAACUCCAGGCAGAGCCCCUGUGCAUCGCAGACUCCUGCUGUUGGGAGAAUGAAACACAAGGAAAGCCCAGGACCAGUACCAGGCACAGGGUCAGUGGCGACAGCAUGUCAACAACUCCCCUCCCUUCUGCGCCUGGAGAUUCCUCUUUCUCCUUCAAUACAUAUUUUGAAAUGAUAUUUAUUAACAUAAAAAUUAUAAAACCUUUCAAACAUCCAGAAAAAUAUAAGGAAAAAUACCAAAUAUCCAUGUUCUCACCACUUGGAUUUAACACAUGUGAACAUUUGCCAUGCUUCAGAUCCUCCUUUUAAAACAAAAUUGUAUGACACAGCAAUUGAUGAACGGAUCAUCAGUACAAUGGACUGUUAUUCAGUCGCAGACAGGAAUGAUGUGUGGACUUGCCAUGGUGUGCAUGAGCCUCGAAGACAUGAUGCUGAGUGAAGGAAUCAGACACAAAAUGCUGCAGAUUGUCUGAUCCCAUGUAUUGAAAUGUCCAGCUCAGGCAAAUCCGUGGAGACAGAAAGCAGGCGAGUGUCUACCAGGGGCUGCGGGGAGGGGAUGGGGAGUGACCACUUAGUGGGUACAGGGCUUCCUUUUGGG
RNAcentral lists this long non-coding RNA (671 nucleotides) under Homo sapiens (human). Its description in RNAcentral is "HSALNT0388835". Lineage: Eukaryota; Metazoa; Chordata; Mammalia; Primates; Hominidae. The record is from RNAcentral.